UUUCAUAUUAAUAUAUAUAUAAAAUUUUAAUAUAAAAAAAAAAAAAAAAAAACUAUAUAAAAAAUAAUACAUAUAAAUAAUAAAUAAUUGUAGUUUGAAAAUUUAUUUUAAAUUUAAUUUACAUAUAAAUUUUAGUGUUAUAUUUACAUUAUUUUAAUAAUAUUUUAAUUUUAAAGUAGUAAUUAAUAUUAAAAAUUUAAGAAAUUAAGAUUUAGUAAUAUUUAAAUUAAUAACAAAUUUUGUGCCAGCAGUUGCGGUUAAACAAAAGUUAAAUUAAAUUUUUUUAGUUAUUAAUUAAUAAUUUUAUAAAAUUAGAUUUUAAUGAGGUGAUAUUUAUAUUAGUUAAAUGAUAAAUUAUUAGGUGAAAUUUUAAUUUAUUAAAAUUUUAUAUAAUUUUUAUGAUUUAAUAAAUUUAUUAAAAAACUAGGAUUAGAUACCCUAUUAUAAAAAUUUAAAUUUAAAUACUAAAGUAGUAAUUAAUUAUUUAUUGAAAUUUAAAUAAAUUGGCGGUAUUUUAGUUUAUUUAGAGGAAUCUGUUUAAUAAUUGAUAAUCCACGAAUAAAUUUACUUAAUUAAAAAUUUUGUAUAUCGUUGUUAAAAAAAUAUUUUAUAAUAAUAAUAAUAUUUAAAUUUUUAAAAUUAAAAUUAAAUCAGAUCAAGAUGCAGAUUAUAAUUAAGAAUAUAAUGGAUUACAGUAAAUUUAUUUAAAUGAAUAUUAAUUUGAAAUAAUUAAUUGAAAUUGGAUUUAAAUGUAAUUUUAUUUAAUUUAAUAAAAUGAUUUAAAAUUAAAUUAUGUACAUAUUGCCCGUCACUUUCAUAUAUUAUGUGAAUAUUUUUUUUAAUUAUUGUAAAUAUUAUAAUAAUAAAAAUUUAUAUAUAAAUAAAUUGAAAUAAGUCGUAACAAAGUAGAGGUACUGGAAAGUGUUUCUAGAAAGA
Molecule: ribosomal RNA, 936 nt
Filed under: Gynaephora qumalaiensis
Lineage: Eukaryota; Metazoa; Arthropoda; Insecta; Lepidoptera; Erebidae
Description: 12S ribosomal RNA
Source: RNAcentral